RNAcentral lists this unclassified non-coding RNA (427 nucleotides) under Hevea brasiliensis (rubber tree). The record is from RNAcentral. Lineage: Eukaryota; Viridiplantae; Streptophyta; Magnoliopsida; Malpighiales; Euphorbiaceae.
AAGUUCCCUGUCUCCAGCCCUCCUCACUUCUGCCUUCCAAAUUCUUGCAAACGUACUUUUUGGUCUUGUGUGCCUACACUAGUGCCAUUUAAUAGAGCUGUUAUAGAUUUCAAUUGAGCAUGAGAGAUAGUCACUGUUAGACAAUGGUCAUCAUGUCUAUUACAUGAAUGUAGCAGUGGAUGGUCAAAGUUGAGAGAUCAAGAGUUCAGGUGAACACUUUUUGUGUCUUGUCCAAAUUGUGUGUAUUCUUGAAAUCACUGCCUUGGUGAAUUUGAUUGGGCAACUUCCUGACUAAUUUGAGAUUUUGGUUAGAAAGCAUAUUAGUUACUUCCAAAGGGGAAGCACAAUAAGAUUUCAAAUUGUUUUAGGAUGUUAACAUGAAGACCUUGAUCUGGAUGUUAUUAAUUAAAAGUGUUGUUUUUUUUUU